Molecule: ribosomal RNA, 253 nt
Filed under: uncultured bacterium
Lineage: Bacteria
Description: partial 16S ribosomal RNA
Rfam family: Bacterial small subunit ribosomal RNA
Source: RNAcentral
UACGGAAGGGGCAAGCGUUGUUCGGAAUCAUUGGGCGUAAAGGGCGCGUAGGUGGUUCUGUAUGUCUACCGUGAAAGCGUACGGCUCAACCGUAUUUUGUCGGUAGAAACUGCAGGACUUGAGGCUGGGAGGGGCUGGUGGAAUUCCCUGUGUAGCGGUGAAAUGCGUAGAGAUGGGGGAGAACACUCGUGGCGAAGGCGGCCAGCUAGACCAGUUCUGACACUGAGGCGCGACAGCGUGGGGAGCAGACAGG